RNAcentral lists this transfer RNA (63 nucleotides) under Aplosonyx pictus. Its description in RNAcentral is "tRNA-Pro". The record is from RNAcentral. Lineage: Eukaryota; Metazoa; Arthropoda; Insecta; Coleoptera; Chrysomelidae.
CAGGUGUUAGUUUAAAUAAAAUAUUAAUUUUGGAGAUUAGAGAUAGGAGAGUUUUACAUCUGA